UGGGGAAUAUUGGACAAUGGGCGCAAGCCUGAUCCAGCCAUGCCGCGUGAGUGAUGAAGGCCCUAGGGUUGUAAAGCUCUUUCACCGGUGAAGAUAAUGACGGUAACCGGAGAAGAAGCCCCGGCUAACUUCGUGCCAGCAGCCGCGGUAAUACGAAGGGGGCUAGCGUUGUUCGGAUUUACUGGGCGUAGAGCGCACGUAGGCGGACUUUUAAGUCAGGGGUGAAAUCCCGGGGCUCAACCCCGGAACUGCCUUGGAUACUGGAAGUCUUGAGUAUGGUAGAGGUGACUGGAAUUCCGGGUGUAGAGGUCAAACUCGUGGAUAAUCGGAAAAACACCGGUAGCGAAGGCGGCUCACUGAACCAUUACUGACGCUGAGGUGCGAAAGCGUGGGGAGCAAACAGG
Molecule: ribosomal RNA, 404 nt
Filed under: Verrucomicrobiota bacterium
Lineage: Bacteria; Pseudomonadati; Verrucomicrobiota
Description: Verrucomicrobia bacterium partial 16S ribosomal RNA
Rfam family: Bacterial small subunit ribosomal RNA
Source: RNAcentral